AUCCUUUGGUGAGGGCAUGCCAAGAGGUAUUCUUGGAAGCGCUCCCAUGUCUUAGGGAUUGACUUGUCUGACGCGUGCAGGAAGUUGGUAAUCCUUCCACGAAGGGC
This 107-nucleotide small nucleolar RNA is filed under the name Dichanthelium oligosanthes. RNAcentral's name for it is "Plant small nucleolar RNA R71". It matches the Rfam family "Plant small nucleolar RNA R71". Rfam says of the family: R71 is a member of the C/D box family of snoRNAs containing the C (UGAUGA) and D (CUGA) box motifs. The record is from Rfam by way of RNAcentral. Lineage: Eukaryota; Viridiplantae; Streptophyta; Magnoliopsida; Poales; Poaceae.